RNAcentral lists this transfer RNA (73 nucleotides) under Cricetulus griseus (Chinese hamster). It matches the Rfam family "tRNA". Rfam says of the family: Transfer RNA (tRNA) molecules are approximately 80 nucleotides in length. Their secondary structure includes four short double-helical elements and three loops (D, anti-codon, and T loops). Further hydrogen bonds mediate the characteristic L-shaped molecular structure. tRNAs have two regions of fundamental functional importance: the anti-codon, which is responsible for specific mRNA codon recognition, and the 3' end, to which the tRNAs corresponding amino acid is attached (by aminoacyl-tRNA synthetases). tRNAs cope with the degeneracy of the genetic code in two manners: having more than one tRNA (with a specific anti-codon) for a particular amino acid; and 'wobble' base-pairing, i.e. permitting non-standard base-pairing at the 3rd anti-codon position. Lineage: Eukaryota; Metazoa; Chordata; Mammalia; Rodentia; Cricetidae. The record is from Rfam by way of RNAcentral.
UGUGUUGUAGCUCAGUAGGUAGAAUGCUUGUCUAGCACACAAUAAGCUCUGGGUUUGAUUCUCAGUACCACAU